RNAcentral lists this ribosomal RNA (454 nucleotides) under uncultured bacterium. RNAcentral describes it as "partial 16S ribosomal RNA". It matches the Rfam family "Bacterial small subunit ribosomal RNA", at positions 28 to 507 of the family's 1533-position model. The record is from RNAcentral.
GAUGAACGCUGACAGAAUGCUUAACACAUGCAAGUCAACUUGAACUUCGGUUUGGGUGGCGGACGGGUGAGUAACGCGUAACGAACUUGCCUCACAGAUAGGGACAACAUUUGGAAACGAAUGCUAAUACCUGAUAUUAUGAUUAUAUGGCAUCGUAUAAUUAUGAAAGCUAUAUGCGCUGUGAGAGAGCUUUGCGUCCCAUUAGCUAGUUGGAGAGGUAACGGCUCACCAAGGCGAUGAUGGGUAGCCGGCCUGAGAGGGUGAUCGGCCACAAGGGGACUGAGACACGGCCCUUACUCCUACGGGAGGCAGCAGUGGGGAAUAUUGGACAAUGGACCAAGAGUCUGAUCCAGCAAUUCUGUGUGCACGAUGAAGUUUUUCGGAAUGUAAAGUGCUUUCAGUUGGGAAGAAAAAAAUGACGGUACCAACAGAAGAAGUGACGGCUAAAUACGUG